CCUCUGUGUUACUGCAGCUCAGUCUAUUCUAUCUCGCUCUCUUUUUCUCUUUCUCUCUCUCUUUCUCUCUCUCUCUCUGUCUGUUGCCGUAGCGAUCUCCUCUCUCCUUUUCUCUCUCUCUCCCUCUCUCUCUCUGUCUGUUGCCAUAGCGAUCUCCUCUCUCUCCCCGGACCCCGCAGCAUAACCCCCUGCACGGAUAGACCUGGCCUUUAUCGUUAUAAAGAUGAAUCCACCGUGGAAUAUCCAGAGAUGCUAUUAUCCCCACCACGACCCGGCAACACAGACAAUGAGUUCCCAGUCCUGAGGUGAACCCGUCCUCUGUCCUGAGGUGAAUCAGUCCAGAGUUACUGCAGUCCUGAGGGGAAUCAGUCCAGAGUUACUGCAGUCCUGAGGUGAAUCAGUCCAGAGUUACUGCAGUCCUGAGGGGAAUCAGUCCAGAGUUACUGCAGUCCUGAGGUGAAUCAGUCCAGAGUUACUGCAGUCCUGAGGUGAAUCAGUCCAGAGUUACUGCAGUCCUGAGGUGA
Oncorhynchus tshawytscha (Chinook salmon) is the source of this 524-nucleotide long non-coding RNA. Lineage: Eukaryota; Metazoa; Chordata; Actinopteri; Salmoniformes; Salmonidae. The record is from Ensembl.